CUUGUAGGCGGUUUUGUAAGUCUGAAGUAAAAGCCCGCAGCUUAACUGCGGAUCUGCUUUGGAAACUGCAUGACUUGAAUCUGUGAGGGGACACUGGAAUUCCUUGUGUAGGGGUGAAAUCUGUUGAGAUAAGGAAGAACACCGGAGGCGAAGGCGAGUGUCUGGCGCAUGAUUGACGCUGAUGAGCGAAAGCGUAGGGAGCGAACAGGAUUAGAUACCCUGGUAGUCC
Molecule: ribosomal RNA, 229 nt
Filed under: uncultured bacterium
Lineage: Bacteria
Description: partial 16S ribosomal RNA
Rfam family: Bacterial small subunit ribosomal RNA
Source: RNAcentral